This 301-nucleotide ribosomal RNA is filed under the name uncultured bacterium. RNAcentral describes it as "partial 16S ribosomal RNA". It matches the Rfam family "Bacterial small subunit ribosomal RNA", at positions 509 to 807 of the family's 1533-position model. The record is from RNAcentral.
CAGCAGCCACGGGAAUACGGAGGGGGCUAGCGUUGUUCGGAAUUACUGGGCGUAAAGCGCACGUAGGCGGCUUGGUAAGUUAGAGGUGAAAGCCUGGAGCUCAACUCCAGAAUUGCCUUUAAGACUGCCGAGCUAGCAGGUGAGAGAGGUAAGUGGAAUUCCGAGUGUAGAGGUGAAAUUCGUAGAUAUUCGGAAGAACACCAGUGGCGAAGGCGGCUUACUGGCUCAUACUGGACGCUGAGGUGCGAAAGCGUGGGGAGCAAACAGGAUUAGAUACCCGGGUAGUCCCUGUCUCUUAUAC